RNAcentral lists this long non-coding RNA (1054 nucleotides) under Salmo salar (Atlantic salmon). RNAcentral describes it as "lncRNA (ENSSSAG00000104611.1)". The record is from RNAcentral. Lineage: Eukaryota; Metazoa; Chordata; Actinopteri; Salmoniformes; Salmonidae.
GAACCUGUCCUCCAUCCAGCCCUCUGCAGCCGUGCGUCAGUACCUCCAGAGCUUCCAUGACAUUGUGAAUGAGGAGCCCAUCUACUGGCUGGUGUCUCUGCUGCCCAGAGCCCUGCUAAGACCUUACCUGGCAAAGAACCUGCCCCUGGGAGAGAGGACCAGACCAGGCCCCAGGCCCUGCCUCUACCCCUGGCUAAGCCUCUUCCCCUGCCCCUGCUACCAGUGGGGGGAGAGGACAUGAAGUCAGACCAGAGGAACCAGAAAGACAAGCUUCUACUGGAGAAGUACCAGGAUGUGAUAGAUGUCUUUAAGGCUGUCAACAUCUUCAGAGUCCAGAUGAUCAACGAGAAGGCUCUCUUCACCUCCAGGUGCGGUUAGCCCAACUUAGGUCUCCAGUUAGCCCGACUUAGGUCUACAGUUAGCCCGACUUAGGUCUACAAUUAGCCCGACUUAGGUCUACAAUUAGCAUGGUCCUGCUAUUUAAUUCUACAGUUAGCCUGGUCCUGCUAUUUAAUUCUACAGUUAGCCUGGUCCUGCUAUCUAAUUCUACAAUUAGCCUGGUCCUGCUAUCUAAUUCUACAGUUAGCCUGGUCCUGCUAUUUAAUUCUACAGUUAGCCAGGUCCUGCUUACUAAGUAUACAGUUAGCUUGGUCCUGCUAAACAAGUCUUGCCAGGUCUCCCUCGCAAAACAGGCUCUCAACCCUACGGAUCUCCAUAGCCUGGGUGCCAGUCUAAUUUGUGAUAUCAUUCUACUCCUUGUCAACAUAAUUUGGCAUAUGACAUGGAGUACAGGAAGUGGAAUCCCAACCAGGGAAUUUGGAUGUUGAAGUUGUGGGAACGUACAUUUUUGGUUUACCAUUGGUUCUGGGGAGGAAGCAAUAACUUUACUGAACGGUAAAACGGAAUUCUGAAAGCCUGUUCUGGGAACGUUAAGUUUUAGGUUCCAGGGAGGUUUCUGAGAACGUCUUACUAUGGUUCUAGGGAGGUUUCUGAGAACGUCUUACUAUGGUUCCAGUGACGUUUCUGAGAACGUCUUACUAUGGUUCCAGGGAGG